AGAGUUUGAUCCUGGCUCAGGACGAACGCUGGCGGCGUGCUUAACACAUGCAAGUCAAGGCGGUAGCAAUACCGACUGGCGCACGGGUGCGGAACACGUAGGCAAUCUGCCCAGAAAGGGAGAACAACCAGUCGAAAGAUUGGCUAAAUCUCCGUAAUAUCACGAAGCGGCAUCGCUUUGUGAUCAAGUUUUUUUCUGGA
RNAcentral lists this ribosomal RNA (200 nucleotides) under uncultured bacterium. Its description in RNAcentral is "partial 16S ribosomal RNA". It matches the Rfam family "Bacterial small subunit ribosomal RNA", at positions 8 to 225 of the family's 1533-position model. The record is from RNAcentral.